AGGGCUGUAGUUAACUAUAACAUUUGGUUUGCAUCCAAAAGGUGUUGUUCAUCAACCUGCCUUA
This 64-nucleotide transfer RNA is filed under the name Cinygmina sp. 2 CLS53BF04. Its description in RNAcentral is "tRNA-Ala". It matches the Rfam family "tRNA". Rfam says of the family: Transfer RNA (tRNA) molecules are approximately 80 nucleotides in length. Lineage: Eukaryota; Metazoa; Arthropoda; Insecta; Ephemeroptera; Heptageniidae. The record is from RNAcentral.